AUUGAACGCUGGCGGCAGGCCUAACACAUGCAAGUCGAACGGUAGCACAGAGAGCUUGCUCUCGGGUGACGAGUGGCGGACGGGUGAGUAACGUCUGGGAAACUGCCCGAUGGAGGGGGAUAACUACUGGAAACGGUAGCUAAUACCGCAUAACGUCGCAAGACCAAAGUGGGGGACCUUCGGGCCUCACACCAUCGGAUGUGCCCAGAUGGGAUUAGCUAGUAGGUGGGGUAAUGGCUCACCUAGGGGACGAUCCCUAGCUGGUCUGGGAGGAUGACCAGCCACACUGGAACUGAUACACUGUCCAGACUCCGACGGGAGGCAGCAGUGGGAAUAUUGCACAAUGGGCGCAAGCCUGAUGCAGCCAUGCCGCGUGUAUGAAGAAGGCCUUCGGGUUGUAAAGUACUUUCAGCGGGGAGGAAGGCGGUGAAGUUAAUAGCUUCACCGAUUGACGUUACCCGCAGAAGAAGCACCGGCUAACUCCGUGCCAGCCGCCGCGGUAA
This 503-nucleotide ribosomal RNA is filed under the name uncultured bacterium. Its description in RNAcentral is "partial 16S ribosomal RNA". It matches the Rfam family "Bacterial small subunit ribosomal RNA", at positions 30 to 523 of the family's 1533-position model. The record is from RNAcentral.